RNAcentral lists this ribosomal RNA (677 nucleotides) under uncultured Tricholoma. Its description in RNAcentral is "eukaryotic LSU rRNA". The stretch from base 250 to 403 matches the Rfam family "5.8S ribosomal RNA". The record is from RNAcentral. Lineage: Eukaryota; Fungi; Basidiomycota; Agaricomycetes; Agaricales; Tricholomataceae.
AUCAUUAUUGAAUAAGCUUGGUUGGGUUGUUGCUGGCUCUUAGGGGCAUGUGCACGCCUAACACCAACUUUCUUACCACCUGUGCACUUUUUGUAGACGUUGGAAAAAACAAUACCUCUCGGAUUGAGUGAGGACUGUCGUGCGCAAGCCGGCUUUCCUUGCAUUUUCCAGUCUAUGUUUUUAUAAUACACACCUAUAGUAUGUUUCAGAAUGUCAUUUAACGGGCUUAAUUGCCUUUUAAUCCUAUACAACUUUCAACAACGGAUCUCUUGGCUCUCGCAUCGAUGAAGAACGCAGCGAAAUGCGAUAAGUAAUGUGAAUUGCAGAAUUCAGUGAAUCAUCGAAUCUUUGAACGCACCUUGCGCUCCUUGGUAUUCCGAGGAGCAUGCCUGUUUGAGUGUCAUGAAAUUCUCAACCUUUUCAAUCUUUUAUUGGUUGAAUUAGGCUUGGAUGUGGGAGACUUUUGCUGGCUUCUUUUNGAAGAGGUCAGCUCUCCUUAAAUUUAUUAGCGGGACCUUUGUUGCCCCCUCAGCCGUUAGUGUGAUAAUUAUCUACGCUAUUUGCUGAACGCAACUCCAAAAUGGGGGUUUACAGCUUCUAAUCGUCUUUUGUAGACAAUUUAUAUGACAAUUUGACCUCAAAUCAGGUAGGACUACCCGCUGAACUUAAGCAUAUCA